GGGGCUAUAGCUCAGUCGGUUAGAGCACACCCCUGAUAAGGGUGAGGUCGCAGGUUCGAAUCCUGCUAGCCCCA
RNAcentral lists this transfer RNA (74 nucleotides) under Acidimicrobiaceae bacterium. RNAcentral describes it as "tRNA-Ile". It matches the Rfam family "tRNA". Rfam says of the family: Transfer RNA (tRNA) molecules are approximately 80 nucleotides in length. Their secondary structure includes four short double-helical elements and three loops (D, anti-codon, and T loops). Lineage: Bacteria; Bacillati; Actinomycetota; Acidimicrobiia; Acidimicrobiales; Acidimicrobiaceae. RNAcentral also lists the same sequence under 1 other name. The record is from RNAcentral.